This is a long non-coding RNA of Cucumis sativus (cucumber), 1126 nucleotides long. RefSeq lists it as uncharacterized. The record is from RefSeq and is a predicted model, not a curated record. Lineage: Eukaryota; Viridiplantae; Streptophyta; Magnoliopsida; Cucurbitales; Cucurbitaceae. The transcript is spliced from 2 exons.
GCUUUUAGUUUAUCACAUUUUGAAAUUCAAACCAUUCCGAACCUUCAACUUAUUGCAAAAGAGAAGAAUAAAACUCUCCAGAAUAUAACACAUCCAAAUUGAAAGAUAGAUUGUACAAUUCCAUUUGUAGUGUUAUUGCAAACCAACAUUACCUUCUAUAUUUUCAUGGUUUUGUUUUAUUAUGCGUUUCAUAGUAGAUUUAGAAUAUAAUACAAACAUUCAAUAAAGAUAUAACAAUGUGAUUGAUAACAACCAUUUGAUACAUACAAAGUUUUGGAACUAUACAUGUUUUUAAUUAGAGCUUAUUACAAAAUUGGCAAAAUAAGUUUUUAAAAUUGGGUCCAUGGCACAAAAUAAUUACAAACCAAAAGUGAUGUAGAAUGGAAGAAUGUAUGGCAGUUUAAAUAUCCUAUUUAUAAUUAGUCUGUGUACCACAAUUUUGGUGUUAAUUAUUAGUUAGAUACAAAACUGAGAUAUUAUUACUGUUUGCAUCUUAUCUUACACAGUAAAGUGAGAAAGGAAACUUGAAUAUGGUAGAGGAAAGGUGUAUAAGACUUAAGAGUAUGGGGCCAAUAUGACUAUGUUCUGGACUUUAUCCACAUGCUAUGCCUAGGAUAAGUGGGAAAAGAAGAAAUGAGCAAAUCAAACAAGACAUCUCGUGCAAAGGUUAUGCAAUGGGAUUUAGCUUGGCGAUUAACAACCCCAGGCAAGGAAUCACGACAUUGCGCGAGGAAAGCUCAUUAGAAGACAAUGAUGGUAGUUGGAGUGAUGUGACUUCACAUGACAAAAUGUCAACGUUGACACACUCAGAGGAAUAGAAGUUUCUCGCAGAAAAGCAGCCUAUACAAGCACUUCGUUUUCACCAAGAGAAAAAAGUCUGAAUAGACCAUUAGAGGCCUGCAUGGGUUUGUUUAGAGAGCUUGUAGUUGGGAUAGAGAAGAAGAAGGCUACUCCUCCUGGUCUCCUAACUUGUAACAUUGUUUCAUGUCCUUAUCCCCCAUUUAAGCUUACAUUCUUUAUAUUGUGUGUUGCACAUAUUGUAUAUUUGCCUAUGACCUAUAUUCUUUGUAAUUCUUUAAACACACAUAAUGUCUUAGUCUAGCAUCUCUAUACUUUUCAUCUAUUA